Molecule: non-coding RNA, 826 nt
Organism: Ictidomys tridecemlineatus (thirteen-lined ground squirrel)
Lineage: Eukaryota; Metazoa; Chordata; Mammalia; Rodentia; Sciuridae
Source: RefSeq, a predicted model, not a curated record
CAAAACUCCGCGGUUCAACAGCUAAAGAGCAAUUUGAUGGGGCUGGGAUGGGGAAAUUACUUGAUUAGCGUCCGUCCGAGAAGAGAGCGGUUACUGCCCCUCGGCCAGGAAUCCGAAACCGGAACAAAACGCGCUGUGGCCUCUCAGGUGCCGCUCUGAGGCUUCGGUGCCCAGCGAACAGCCAGCCGGCGCUGUACACAGCCACCUACCUCGUUCGAGGUGAAACUACGUGGCAACGGUACUUUUACCUGGAGCAGUUCUGCGUUCACACUUUUUCCCGAGGGAAGGAGUGGCCACGCCCGAGUCUCUACUCGUUCUCUACUCCCCAUUCGGGAGGAAAGAGCGAUGACCAGGAGUCCCUCCAGUACAUCAGUUACACGCCUCUGCCCCUAGGAAACCUGCAUCUAGUGUAAUCUUUCCUCUUCUGCGUAGCUUCGGGCUCUUGUGCUGCUUAAUACGCCCGGGUUUUCCCCACAACGUACCGGAACCCAGGAUGGAGUGAAUCCCGCGUGCCACUAGUUAGGGUUGGGGGUCCGUGGACUGCGGAAUAUACGCGGCUUCGGGUGACCCAAUUUGACCACCACCUGGGCCCUGUCUGCAAGAGAACCCUCUCUUAAUCGAAGUUUUUCAGAAGGGUGAAUUUGACCCGAAUCUGCGCAUCUUUAUUACCCACUGUGGAUAGUGUGAAGUUAAUGCGUUUGAAAUACAGAUGGAGCCAAAUCACUGAAGUCAUUUCGAAGGAUAACUUUUCCCUAAUUCAAAUGGGACUGUCUUUCGCAUACUACAAAUGCGAACAAAGGAAAAUAAAAAACUUUUUUCAAUUAAA